GAUGAACGCUGGCGGCGUGCCUAAUACAUGCCAGUCGAGCGAACAGACGAGGAGCUUGCUCCUCUGACGUUAGCGGCGGACGGGCGAGUAACACGUGGAUAACCUACCUAUAAGACUGGGAUAACUUCGGGAAACCGGAGCUAAUACCGGAUAAUAUAUUGAACCGCAUGGUUCAAUAGUGAAAGACGGUUUUGCUGUCACUUAUAGAUGGAUCCGCGCCGCAUUAGCUAGUUGGUAAGGUAACGGCUUACCAAGGCGACGAUGCGUAGCCGACCUGAGAGGGUGAUCGGCCACACUGGAACUGAGACACGGUCCAGACUCCUACGGGAGGCAGCAGUAGGGAAUCUUCCGCAAUGGGCGAAAGCCUGACGGAGCAACGCCGCGUGAGUGAUGAAGGUCUUCGGAUCGUAAAACUCUGUUAUUAGGGAAGAACAAAUGUGUAAGUAACUAUGCACGUCUUGACGGUACCUAAUCAGAAAGCCACGGCUAACUACGUG
This 497-nucleotide ribosomal RNA is filed under the name uncultured bacterium. RNAcentral describes it as "partial 16S ribosomal RNA". It matches the Rfam family "Bacterial small subunit ribosomal RNA", at positions 28 to 507 of the family's 1533-position model. The record is from RNAcentral.